CGCAAGCCCGCGGCUCUGCCUGGGAAAUCCGAGCGGCGGCGGCCAUCUUGCGUAUGGAGCUGCUCCCGCCCCGCGCGUCUCUCCCGCUCGGCUUUGUAGCUUCCUCUCGGACGGCCUUUCGCGCUCUCGGAGAUGCCCUAUAGUGAAAUUGAAGCUAAGUUUUUGGGACCUGGAAAAGAACUAACAAGGGAACCAUGCUCUAAAAAAUUGAAGUCAGCUGCAGAUGAUUGUGUUUUGUCCCAUCGAGGUGGUCCUGAAAGUCACAGACUCCAAGAGAAAACCAGAAAUAAUAGGAUCCCCGUGGCCACCAUUAACUUCAGAAGACGUAUUUGUCCUGAGGAAGACAAAACCACAACUACAGAUGUGUUGAAGCCUUCGUACAAGGAGAUGCCUGGUGAUAAACUAGGUGCUGCUGAAGCCAUUGGUUCGAAAGCUUUGCAGGAUGGAAAGCCUUCGUCACUAUCCAAGGAUGACGAAAUCUAUAGCACAAGUAAAGCAUUCAUAGGCCCCAUUUACAAACCCCCUGAAAAGAAGAAAUGCCGAGAAAGGAAGCACGAGACGGACAGUUUCAGUAGUGUAGAUGACAAAAGAAGACGAGAAGAAAAACAGAAGUUUAUCUCCAAAAAAGUGGAGAUUGACACGGAAUUAUCCCAGUUUUACAAAGAAAUUGAAGAGCUGGAAAAUGAAAAUGAUGCUUCACAAGGCAGUUGUAAGGUACCAGAGCCUUCCCCAGAACAAAUUAUUCCUUAUGACCAGGCCUGUGGUACCUUAAAGUCCGAGGAAGAAAGUAAAGACCUCAGUAGUGCUCUCCAGUCACAUUGUGGUUACCAGCAGUACUUGGAGAAUGAACCAGGCAGACAUCCCUGUGAUGAACAAGUGAUGCCUCCGUUUUGUGAUACUUCAUUCUCUUCCUUCGGGCCUGAAUGGCAGUCAAUACAUCCUUUUGUCAUACCCCAUGGUCCUCCUCUUCCCAGUUUUAAUUAUCAUUUUAAUAUUCCAAGAUUCAAUGCCCCACUAAAUCCACCACCAAAUAUUUUCCAUGGGCAAGAUGACUCUCAGAUGCAGAACGGGUGUUACGUAGAUAGUUGUCAGGAUAGCUGGAACUGUUUAACUUUUGAUCAGAACGAUGAGUAUGUUCAUUAUGGUGUGACCAGCAAUACUGUUCAGCCCUUUAGAAAUGGCUACAGUGUGCAGGAUGAAAGUGUGAGUGAUGGUUUCUGUGAAAUCAGAGAGUGCUGGAGAGAGCCUUUUCUGGGAGAGCGCAGUGGAGCAGACAGGUUGGUGAGCCAGUGGUUUCCAGAGGAGAAGCUAAACAAAUUGCAGAAAUUACUUAUUCUUCUGCGAGGCCUCCCUGGUUCUGGAAAAACAACAUUGUCUCGAAUUCUGCUUGGUCAGAGUCGCGAUGGCAUCGUGUUCAGCACUGAUGACUAUUUUCAUCAUCAAGAUGGGUACAGGUACAAUGUUAAUCAACUUGGUGAUGCCCAUGACUGGAACCAGAGCAGAGCAAAACAAGCUAUCGAUCAGGGGAGAUCUCCAGUUAUAAUAGACAAUACUAAUACACAAGCCUGGGAAAUGAAACCAUAUGUGGAAAUGGCCAUAGGAAAAGGAUACAGAGUAGAGUUUCAUGAACCGGAAACUUGGUGGAAGUUUGAUCCUGAAGAAUUAGAAAAGAGGAAUAAACAUGGUGUGUCUCGGAAGAAGAUUGCUCAGAUGUUGGAUCGUUAUGAAUUUCAAAUGUCCAUCUCUAUUGUGAUGAAUUCAGUGGAACCACCACAGAAAAGCACACAAAGACCCCUCCCUCUCCCGGGGGAGCCGAGAGGGAGACUUUUGAAGAAGAGUGGGUACCGGUUUGACAGACCCAAACAGAAGAGAAACAGAAGAGGAAAGAAAAGGAACAACAGUUUCCGUGAGAACUCCCCUGCAGCCUUAGGUCAGGGCCCGUCUCAAAGCCAGGGGGAAGGUUUUGAAGAGACCAAGCGAGAACCAGGGCAUCCCUUUGCUGGCGGCCUACAGAAUGAAGCAGCGGAUUGUGUAGAUGGCUCUGAAGAGCAAAGCUGCAAAGACAGGGAGAACUCAACCAGUUUCCAAAAUGUCGUGUCUGCAGUUGAGGUGGACCACACACCGAAGAGCUGCUUCCCCGAGGAGGAGGAAGAGGAGGCGGAGGGGGAGGGCCUGUUUCUAACUUUGCCUUCGGUACCAAGUGAAGGGUCUGCCUGCUGGGACACGAGCACUCAGCAUCGUCCUUGUGUAGUGAAGGAUGGCUGCUCAGACAGGAGGGCGGGAAGCCAGGUGAGAAGUGGACGUAACUCAGCCGCAGACAAGCAGGACACAGUUGCUAAAACUCCACGUUCGUUUGCACAGAAGACAGAAACGGCAGGUCAGAGUUGCCCUGAUGAGUUUGCUCCACGUCGUCGUCAGAGUGGAGCCAGAAUGUCGGAGGAAAUAUUACGAGAGGAACACGGAGUUAGAAGCGAUCGCUGGGCUUUUUUUACAGUUAGUUUGUUUGAUGAAGAAUUGGAGAUAAAGUCUGAGAGUCAGCCAUAUGUGGGUGGUUGGCCCCAGGGACCCCAUGAGUUUGUGUGUGAGCAGAGACCCAAGAAAGACAGAUCUCGGAGACUGACCCGUCCUGAUAGCGAGGAACAGUGCAUUAAGCUGAUUUCCGCUCCUGAAGGAGCAGCGGGCUCGGGAAGCGGCCCAGAAACACCAAUGAAGAAGCAGCCGAGAGAUUUGUCCCCCAAAGCUGGGGUGGUGGAUUUACCCAGAAACCCAGAAACAGCUGUCUCCAGCACCUGUGCCCCCCAUCUCGACUCCCCAGAGCACCCCUUAGAACCAGCAAAGGGUAUACAAGGGGUGCAGCGGAUUUGCGAUUUGUCACCGAACAAACAGACUCCUAUCAACCCAGAAACAAAGGAGAAAUGUGACCUCUUAACAGAAAAUCAUGAGCUGAACACUUUCUUAUCAGGGGAAGAUAUUUCCAAAAUAAUCAAUAAAGAUGAGACAAAGCCAAAAAUGAUGGUCUUUGACUGUCGUCUGCCACGGUUUUACCUUGACUCUCCUCCAAGUAUUGUCCGCCAGUCUCGCUCUUACCGUCUGCCAUUUAACAGAGUAGGGUGUGCUGUGUAUUUUUAUAAAAACCCUGUCCCUUCUCUCUUGCUACAUUAUCUAUCUAGCUUUUGCGUGCUAUCUUUUAACGACAGAAGAGCACUUUUGACACUCGAGUCUCAGAAAGGCCUGGCUAGGACACUCACCGAUGGAGGCUUUAUUCCCUCAGACGAUCUGAGUGGCCAGCCUGCUCCUCAUUGCUUUUCGCGGAUUUUCUCCGAGAGGCUGGAUGAAGAGCUGAAGACAUGGGGAGCCUGGGAGCCGGGGGACUGCUCAGCAGCUGAAGACUGCCAGGACUUAAUAAGCAGGACCCGUCGGAGCCGGGGGCCGUUAUCACAGAGAUGCUUGCCUUCCGCCCGUCCCAACGGUGUGGAUCUCGCGGAGUCCCAAUAGGUAAACCGGUUUAUUUAUGAAAAAUACAAGUCCAAACCCGGCAGGGUCAUGCAAACCUUUAAUCCCAGCACUCGGGAGGCAGAAGCAGGCAGAUUUCUGAGUUCGAGGCCAGCCUGGUCUACAAAGAGAGUUCCAAGAAAGCCAGGGUUGUUAUACGGAGAAAUCCUGUCUGGAAAAGACAAAAACAAACAAAGAACCAAAAGUCUAGUUUAACAUAUGCAAAUACUUUCGGUCAUGGGGCCUCUCCUGUGGUAGUGACGUCAUGUUGAUCUUAUGAAUCACCGCAGCAGUGAAAGUGACCCAUGGUGAACUUAGCAAGCUGCCACCCCUUGCGCGAGUCCUUGUAAAUGUCUGAGUCCCCUGCUGGAGAGGUGGCACAGCAGUUAAAAGCACUGGCUGCUCUUGCCGUGGACCCAGGUUUGGUUCCCAGCACCCACAUGAUGACUCACAACCAUCUACUACUCCAGGUCCAAGGCGUCUGAUGCCCUCUUCUGGCCUCCAUGGAUACCAGGCAUAGAUGUGUAUUGAAGGCCGUGCACUCUGAGGUGGCCCUUGAGGAGAGUCGUUCACUGCACAUGUUUGUGUCCAGCCCUCAACUGGGUCAGACUCCUGUUUGCUUGACCUGAAAGCAUCUCGUCCGUCCAUCGCUGGUGUCCUCCUUUGGUCCACAGUGGGAGCCUCACUGUUCCUGAGGGCUGCGCAUCUUCUGCAGGGAGCUGGUGGAGGACCGGCGUGGACUGUUACUCAGGAGACCGGAAGAGUAGUACACAGCCGUUUCCUUUGUUCAGGUCCUUGUUGCUUUUGUUUUUCGAGACCGGCUUUCUCUGUGUAGCCCUGGCUGUCCUGGAUCUUGCUCUCUGUAGCUCAAGCUGGCCUCGAACUCACAGAGAUCCUCCUGCCUCUCCCUCCUGAGUGCUGGGAUUAAAGGUGUGCACCACUACCGCCUGGCUUUUUCUUUUAAAUUAUUAUUAUUAAUUAAUGGUGAUGUAAGUGAAGCUGGAGGCACUCCAGGGCACAUUUUGGAAUUAGUAGUAAAAUUUAAGUUUAAAGAUAAAACGUGGAGCUGUUGCUUAAGGGUAGCAGGUAUUUCUUACAAGCACAUCUGGUACAAACUUAUUUCUCUCCUUAGUCCUGGGGGAGGCCAUAUUGUCAUUCAUGCCCACACAGAGAGCAGUGCCGAACGUGUUCGGACUGACGUGUGCUUGUAAUGUUUCUUUCGACAUUUGAGGACUGUCUGCACAGGAGAAUGAAUCCUUUCAUGUGUCUCAAUUAUCAUUUCUAGAAAAGGCGGCAGAAGAAUCUUGGUAAAAAUGAGAAUCCUGUGAGCUGUAAGUACUUCUCGUUGCAGAGACCUCAAUAUGGUCAGAAGGAAAUGAGUGUUGACAUCGCCUGGUUGUAAUAGCGCAGAGGCACUGCAGUUGAAGAGUUGUUACCAUAGCAACCCUGUCUGUGCUCUUGCGUGUUCAAUGCUUCUCCUCAAUCGCACAUCUUUGUGUGAACGACAACAAAGCUUGGAUUGUUGCUCCCAAGAUUUAUUCCCCAUUUCAUUAGUUAGACUGCAUCUCUGAGCAUGCUGUUGACAGUGUGUGAGAUCCCACACACACGCCACUGGUAUGUGAGCAGAGCCAGGAGUUAGGGCUGUAGGUUAUGCGUAAAUAUUGUACAUUAGCGGAUGCUCUAAGGAAAGAGAUGGCACGGAUAGACCCUCGUGUCAUACGCUGUACUUGACAUCGAGAGUGACAUUGAAACAAGCAUGUGGCGCUCGCUCUCCCCGGAAUCGACGUUAUGAAGUAAAUACGUCUGCUGGGACUGUCAGUGUGUGCGUGUCUGGGUCUGAUAAGAAUGGGACGCACGUGUGUUUGGCACGGCUUCUCCCUUCAGUAAUGCAUUUCUACGGGCAAUCUGUGUGAUCUCAGUGAGAAACACGUGUGCUCAGUUUCCUUUUCGCCUGGAAGACAGCAGUGGCUGCUCAGGAGGAGUUGAGAGAGCUGGAGAGACCUAUCGUAGGAGCGGAGUGCUAACAGACUGUGAGGACCCGAGAAGGGGUCAGACCUCCGUGUUGUUCCCCAGUGGACUGCGUUGCCUGCAUUAGACACGGGUCCGCAUAUCGAGAGGACAGCAGUGAGACACCCCCCCCCCCAGCCCUCCUGUGCUAUGACAGGGCACAGUUGGGGAUGUUCUCCUUCCGCUACGUGAGGUGGUCCUAGCGUGGACCAGGAGGUCCUGUGCAGGUAACGUGCAGCGAGCCUGGCUGAGUCGAGGACAUGCUCUGUAUGCACUUUCCGUUUUAAAGUCACCGCCCCUGCCCAGCGCUCUUCAUGGCUCUGGCCUUCCCACCAACAGCCUGGUUCCAAUUCUUUUUCUUUUCUUUUUUUUUAAAAAAAUUUUUUUAAAGAUUAUUUAUUAUGUAUACAGUGUUCUGUCUGCACUUAUCCCUGCAGGCCAGAAGAGGGCACCAGAUCUCAUUACAGCUGGUUGUGAGCCACCAUGUGGUUGCCUGCCCUUUUGGUUUGUCAGAAAGUGCUGACGAAUAGGUUUCAAAGGGCAGAUAGAAAUGUCGGAAGAGGCAGGUAGGAGGGGACCCGCUGGGCCGUACAGGUCCCACGGCUCUCUCUGCCUUCUUCACAGCAGUCUGCGCUGGUUGCCUGUGUCGAUAGCCAGUCCUCUGUAGAGGCUGAGGUAGGCCGAGGAUGUGUUCCCGUGUGCCUGUCCACUGUAGAGGCUGAGGUAGGCCGAGGAUGUGUUCCCAUGUGCCUGUCCACUGUGGAGGCUGAGGUAGGCCAAGGAUGUGUUCCCAUGUGCCUGUCCUCGAGCUGCUGUGUGACCCGGAAAAAAAAAAAAAAAUCAUCCUCAAUUGUUUUAGGUGUAAAAGUAAGUUGACAGUCACUUUCUAGUGGAGAUUUUAAAUGGGGAUUAAAUGAAGCAAUGUGUGUAAAGUACUUAGAACAGUGCCUGAAAAGCACUGGGCUCUUACCACGGGUUCACCUGCCUUCUCUCAACACCUCCCUGAGCAAAGCCCUCUGGCAAAACAGACCUCAUGUGAUCCUGGGAGAGGAAACUAUUGAGCUGGGAAACUUGCUUACAAAUUGACAUAAAUCCUUGUAAUGCUCAUUAAUAACUUUUGAACUGUGAAGUGUUGUACCCCAGGGAGUGAAAACAGGAGGGAGAUGGGAUGGGCAGAAGCAGGCAGAGGGGACUGAAGGAACAGUGGGGGUCCUAGAUGCUAGAAGAGUGACCAGGGAAGCAAAGAGGACCUGGGGACAGACUCCUUCCUGCAGCGGAGAUCUCUGCUUCCUGCCUGCUGCUGCUGACAAUCCUCAUCAGUGAGGACAGCCAGGUACCCAGUGCUGACCCUCAGAGGUCCUUGCAGCGAGUGCCUACUGGACCCCAGCACUGGCGUGGAUAAUCGCCCCAGGUGUUGCUCUUGAUAAGUUGUGUCAAUAAAAAAAAAAAAAAAAAGGGCAAGCAGUAACAGUUGGAACACUGCCUGAUGCCAAGAGUUCUGUCACAGCCUCACUUGGCAGAGGAGAAUGAGGCACAGAAAACCCUCGAGUUACUCCAAGAUCAGGAUGGUAGCCUGUGCAAGCACUGGGCUGUGGCCACAACCCUAGAAUUCUGAAAUCCCAAAAGGCUCUAAAAUCCAAAUGUCAUUUUGGUUAUCCAAUCUUUAAAAAUGGUGAAAUAUGCAAUAAACUGAUUACCUUA
Peromyscus maniculatus bairdii (prairie deer mouse) is the source of this 7200-nucleotide non-coding RNA. NCBI's taxonomy places the organism in Eukaryota, Metazoa, Chordata, Mammalia, Rodentia, Cricetidae. The record is from RefSeq and is a predicted model, not a curated record.